GACGAACGCUGGCGGCGUGCCUAAUACAUGCAAGUAGAACGCUGAAGGAGGAGCUUGCUUCUCUGGAUGAGUUGCGAACGGGUGAGUAACGCGUAGGUAACCUGCCUGGUAGCGGGGGAUAACUAUUGGAAACGAUAGCUAAUACCGCAUAAUAGCAGUUAUUGCAUGAUAACUGUUUGAAAGGUGCAAUUGCACCACUACCAGAUGGACCUGCGUUGUAUUAGCUAGUUGGUGGGGUAACGGCUCACCAAGGCGACGAUACAUAGCCGACCUGAGAGGGUGAUCGGCCACACUGGGACUGAGACACGGCCCAGACUCCUACGGGAGGCAGCAGUAGGGAAUCUUCGGCAAUGGACGGAAGUCUGACCGAGCAACGCCGCGUGAGUGAAGAAGGUUUUCGGAUCGUAAAGCUCUGCUGUAAGAGAAGAACGAGUGUGAGAGUGGAAAGUUCACACUGUGACGGUAUCUUACCAGAAAGGGACGGCUAACUACGUG
RNAcentral lists this ribosomal RNA (495 nucleotides) under uncultured bacterium. RNAcentral describes it as "partial 16S ribosomal RNA". It matches the Rfam family "Bacterial small subunit ribosomal RNA", at positions 28 to 507 of the family's 1533-position model. The record is from RNAcentral.